This is a small nucleolar RNA of Physella acuta, 67 nucleotides long. RefSeq annotates it as small nucleolar RNA SNORD82. Lineage: Eukaryota; Metazoa; Mollusca; Gastropoda; Physidae. The record is from RefSeq and is a predicted model, not a curated record.
UGUGCAAGUGAUGAAGAUAAAUGGGACGUAAUACUGAAAUACAUGGUGAUUCAUUUACCUGAUGCAC